AUUUCAGGUCUGCGGUCAUGUGGUUGGACAGAGGAAGUUUGUAGUUCCAUGCGUUCUAGAAAGAAGGUGUGUUCACAAGAAGCAGGCGAUAUGGCAUCAACUAACAAUGGAUUAAAGAAGUUGUUGAUUACAGAUGCAAAAAGAAAUUUCGUCUCUCAAAUUCCCGAGUCCUUGAAAGAGAACCUUAUUCAACGUCUGAAAUCAUUUAGCUGGGAAAAAUGACAUUCAGGUCCUUGAGCAACUUGGCAUGUCUCCUGAUGUAUGUUGGUAGUGGAGCUUGGUGUAUAAUCUGUAACAUUGGUUUUGUUUCGUUGAGUGGUGGCAGCUUCCUUGAGCAAUAACUGGGGGUAUGUCAUAUUCUUUAUCUUUGCGGUCGGGAGCAGGUUGUUCUAUCAGUGUCAUUUGAUCUUUUGUCAAUCGGAAUAUAGGUGGGGGCUUCACUGGUCAAAUGUGACAUCAAAGAUCCGAGUUCAAUAACUGCCAAAAGUUCUUUCUCCUUUGCACCUGUGCAGUUGUGGUUUUGGUAGAGAACGAGCUCAGAAUUUCUAUUAAAUUUGUAUGAUAUAUCUCUUUUCAGCAAUCAUCGUUAGUAUACAAUCCUCAUUUUAUGGACGCUUUGCAAUUUUCCCAUAAAUAUGUGGUCGGAUUAGUACUCUUGGAUCUUUAUGCUAUCAUUGAGUUUUACUUAAAAAAAAUAAAAUAAAAAAAAUGAUGGAAUCUUGACUACCCAUAAA
This is a non-coding RNA of Camellia sinensis, 734 nucleotides long. NCBI's taxonomy places the organism in Eukaryota, Viridiplantae, Streptophyta, Magnoliopsida, Ericales, Theaceae. The record is from RefSeq and is a predicted model, not a curated record.